AGUGAACGCUGGCGGUAGGCCUAACACAUGCAAGUCGAACGGCAGCACAGUAAGAGCUUGCUCUUACGGGUGGCGAGUGGCGGACGGGUGAGGAAUACAUCGGAAUCUACUUUUUCGUGGGGGAUAACGUAGGGAAACUUACGCUAAUACCGCAUACGACCUACGGGUGAAAGCAGGGGAUCUUCGGACCUUGCGCGAUUGAAUGAGCCGAUGUCGGAUUAGCUAGUUGGCGGGGUAAAGGCCCACCAAGGCGACGAUCCGUAGCUGGUCUGAGAGGAUGAUCAGCCACACUGGAACUGAGACACGGUCCAGACUCCUACGGGAGGCAGCAGUGGGGAAUAUUGGACAAUGGGCGAAAGCCUGAUCCAGCCAUACCGCGUGGGUGCAGAAGGCCUUCGGGUUGUAAAGCCCUUUUGUUGGGAAAGAAAAGCAGCAGGUUAAUACCCCGCUGUUCUGACGGUACCCAAAGAAUAAGCACCAGCUAACUUCGUG
Molecule: ribosomal RNA, 492 nt
Filed under: uncultured bacterium
Lineage: Bacteria
Description: partial 16S ribosomal RNA
Rfam family: Bacterial small subunit ribosomal RNA
Source: RNAcentral